RNAcentral lists this long non-coding RNA (299 nucleotides) under Mytilus galloprovincialis (Mediterranean mussel). The record is from RNAcentral. Lineage: Eukaryota; Metazoa; Mollusca; Bivalvia; Mytilida; Mytilidae.
CCACAUUCAUUCUGUGUCAGAAACCUAUGCUGUGUGAACUAUUUAAUCACAAUCCAAAUUUAGAGCUGAAUCCAGCUUGAAUGUUGUGUCCAUACUUUCCCCAACCGUUCAGGGUUCAACCUCUGCAGUCGUAUAAAGCUGCGCCCUGAGCAUCUGGUUUGUUAUAUGCAAAUAAAAACACACCACAUCAAUAUUGAUCAUGAUUUUAAAAAAAGGGCAUAACAACUUUCCCUUAUUUAACCAAAGGCAACAUGUUUAGCAAUUAACUAUAAUUGCACUUUGAUAUAUUAUUUUAUCCA